GACGAACGCUGGCGGCGCGCUUAACACAUGCAAGUCGAGCGAUGAAAUUUCGACAGAUCCCUUCGGGGUGAAGAUGAAAUGGAUUAGCGGCGGACGGGUGAGUAACACGUGAGUAACCUGCCUUUGACAUUGGGAUAGCCUCGGGAAACUGGGAUUAAUACCAAAUGACACUAACUGAUCACAUGAUCAAUUAGUCAAAGAAAUUCGGUCAAAGAUGGACUCGCGGCUGAUUAGCUAGUUGGUGAGGUAACGGCCCACCAAGGCGGGGAUCAGUAGCCGGCUGGGGGAGGGGACCGGCCGGGUUGGACCUACGACCCGGACACAUCCCCGAGGGAGGAGAGCGGUGGGGAGAAUUACGGGAUGGGGGAAACCCUGAUGCAGCGACGCGGCGUGAGCGAAGAAGGGCUUCGGGUCGUAAAGCUCUUUUAUGAGGGAAGAUAAUGACGGUACCUCAAGAAAAAGCCCCGGCUAACUACGUG
This 479-nucleotide ribosomal RNA is filed under the name uncultured bacterium. RNAcentral describes it as "partial 16S ribosomal RNA". It matches the Rfam family "Bacterial small subunit ribosomal RNA", at positions 28 to 507 of the family's 1533-position model. The record is from RNAcentral.